Papaver somniferum (opium poppy) is the source of this 1617-nucleotide long non-coding RNA. RefSeq lists it as uncharacterized. The transcript has 6 exons. NCBI's taxonomy places the organism in Eukaryota, Viridiplantae, Streptophyta, Magnoliopsida, Ranunculales, Papaveraceae. The record is from RefSeq and is a predicted model, not a curated record.
CCUCUCGCCAACUCUAUCAGUUUAUUUUCUCUAUCUAGAAGAAUAUCAAAUUUUACCCCCGAAACCUAAAUCUCUAAACCUAAAUCUCAGCAUCAAAAACAUUCGUUUCAAGUUUCAACCAUCGUAAAACCUAAAUCGACUAUAUGUUCUUGAAGAUAAAUUAUGAAUGGAAGGGAAAAGUUGUGUAGAAUCAAUAUCAGCAAACUAUUUUGAAGAUUUCAUCAUUGAAAGCGAUUGGAAAGAUAAGUUUAAUCUAUUUCUUAUCAUUUUAAUUUGAUUACACUCUUGAUUUGUCGAUGUCGAAAUCUGAUUUCAGAAGAAAAAAAUACAGUUCAAUAGAACCUAAUAUUUUUUAUUUCAAUUCGAAUUUAUUUUUGGAUUCAUAAUCAGAUCUUGGAUUUGUAAUUAUAUGUGAAUUUAAAACUACGAAGUUUCGCAAAAUUGUACGCAUCUAAUCUCUGCAAUUCCAUCCAUCUUCAGAUUGGUAAUCAGCGUGUCUUAAUCUUCAUUACCCAUCAAACAUAACAAACUCCAAUUGUUGAUACGUGAAAUGUGUUUAGAAAAAUCAUGUGUAUAUUUGUUUCAAGACUGCUGUACAAAAUCAUGAGUUCAACUCAUUAAAGAGUAGUAGGUCAAGAGGGAAAGUGAGGCAUAUCAAUUGAAAUGAAAAAGAAUCUGUUGUUUACUUCUAUUGAACAAAGUAAAUUACACUCCAUGCAUGUAUAAAAAAAUAGAGAGUUGAUUUUGUUGCAGGUUGAUAGGAGUUCAGUCAUGUAUAACUAGAAGAUGAUUAUGGGUUUAACCUAGUUUCAUCGAACUAUGGAAUGAGGGACCAAUAAGAGGAAACCGACGGGAACAUGAGCAAAAGCCUGAGAAGAAAACCUGAAGAGCACUAGGAUUUUCCACUUAAAAUAGAACAGCGAGAGCGCGACUUGAAAGAUUAAUACCGAAAAACUGGGAGGAGAGGGAGUAUAUCAAUGAUCCUAAUGAUGUUGAAACUGAGAGUUUGAAGAUGAUCCUGAUAUUACAGGAACUCAAUAAUUCCUAGUCCACUCGAAAGAACAGACAAUUGAUCAAACUUCUGAUAUUUGGUACAUGCAAGAUGAAGCGAGAAAAACAAAUUCGAGGGUGGUGUCAAACAAACUGGAACUCGAGAGAGCCAUAUGAUUUACCAAGCAUGGAAACUGCAGCUGCUUUAAGUCGAGUCCCUGAUGUAGCAUGGUGGAUCAACAUCAAUUGCAAGAAAUUCAGUUUAUGCUCAGGAUGACCUUCAUUAGUACCUGCAUCCACAGAGCCUCUACUACACAUCCUAAAUUGUAUAUGGAGGUACGAUUAAUCUUCUUAGUUAAGCCGCAAAAUGAAACAAGGGAAGGAUAUAAUCAUUUGUCUAAGUAAACAUCAUUUAUGGACUAGUUCAUUUUUAAAAUAUUGAUAUUCAGGUUAUUGAAGCCAAAUGAUGGUCUAAAUUGCACUGAUAUAGUGCUUGUUGUAAAUUAUAGUGCUCAAUAUUUGCCUUUCAUCAGUUUUCAAUUUUAGCAACUUGUAUGUUUGUAAUGUAUACUCAUUUUGAAUGUAACUUAUACACAGUUUUAAUGCAAUACAAUGGUUUCUUUUCUA